RNAcentral lists this transfer RNA (75 nucleotides) under Lachnospiraceae bacterium. RNAcentral's name for it is "tRNA-Gln". It matches the Rfam family "tRNA". Rfam says of the family: Transfer RNA (tRNA) molecules are approximately 80 nucleotides in length. Their secondary structure includes four short double-helical elements and three loops (D, anti-codon, and T loops). Further hydrogen bonds mediate the characteristic L-shaped molecular structure. tRNAs have two regions of fundamental functional importance: the anti-codon, which is responsible for specific mRNA codon recognition, and the 3' end, to which the tRNAs corresponding amino acid is attached (by aminoacyl-tRNA synthetases). tRNAs cope with the degeneracy of the genetic code in two manners: having more than one tRNA (with a specific anti-codon) for a particular amino acid; and 'wobble' base-pairing, i.e. permitting non-standard base-pairing at the 3rd anti-codon position. The record is from RNAcentral. Lineage: Bacteria; Bacillati; Bacillota; Clostridia; Lachnospirales; Lachnospiraceae.
UGCCCCAUGGCCAAGCGGUAAGGCAACGGAUUCUGAUUCCGUCAUUCCAAGGUUCGAAUCCUUGUGGCGCUGCGA